AAAGGUCAUCUCUUGAAUGGUUAUAAAUUAAAAUGUAGGUAAAAAAUUACGAUAUCUUGAAGUUGGUUUUCAAAAUUUUUCGUUUUGUAUUCUUCAUUUUUAGAAAUUCACAAUGGGGUGUAUUUUCGGUACACUGGGAUCGGCAUUUUCAGUUAUUUUAGAUGCUCUAGAAAGGAUAUCUACAUGGACAGUAUGUGCAAUAUUAACUUGUUGUUUAGCGGUUACUCUUAUAACUGUAUUGUUGAUUGGAAUCGGUAUCGGCUACCACUAUUGUUACAUUCAUUACGUGGGGUCUGGAUCGAGAUGGAAUAAGACGAGCCAAACACAUUAUUUCUAUCACGCGUUCAAUAAAUUCAUCAGAGAAAAUAUCCAUCGUAUAACAAAACGCGAAUUGAAAGCAAAUGGAAGCGAAAAUUUUGGGUUUCAUAACAAAACAUAUUUAGUGA
Papilio machaon (common yellow swallowtail) is the source of this 446-nucleotide long non-coding RNA. RefSeq lists it as uncharacterized. The record is from RefSeq and is a predicted model, not a curated record. The transcript has 3 exons. NCBI's taxonomy places the organism in Eukaryota, Metazoa, Arthropoda, Insecta, Lepidoptera, Papilionidae.